UAUAAAAUAAAAAUGCGUUCAGUCAUCACGUUUGCCGAAAGUUUUUGAAAAACAAGCAAACAUGCCCUUGAGAAUCCCAUCUCGUCUCCUUCCAUGGCAGCCUCUCUUCCUCUUCUUAUUAGUAAUCUCAUGGCUUCUCUCUUCUUCUCAUGGUGACGUUGGCACUGCUGCCCAUUACAGUCCACCAUAUUUACGUAAGUACUCUUUCAACCAUACCCUUACCUUUACCACACCACUCCACUUUUUUUCUCAUUAAUUUCCAUGUUCUUUGCUGUAUAGCCACCGCCUGCUACGGCAACGAUGCAUCGCAGUUUCCUUCCAAUAAUUUAUUUGCGGCGGCCGGCAAUGGAAUAUGGGACAAUGGGGCAUCCUGUGGGAGAGAGUAUUUGGUCAGGUGCAUUAGUGCCACGGUUGCCGGUUCUUGCCAACCCGGUCAAACGAUUCAAGUCAAGAUCGUUGAUUAUGCUCUUUCAACACCUACUCCGCCGUCGGCUAGCGGAAAGACCAUUGUCUUGUCGGAAACUGCCUUUGGGAGAAUCGCCAAUCCAUCGGCUACUUCUAUCAAUAUAGAAUUUCAACAGGUAUGAUAGACAGGAAGGAUCAGAUGAAUGGAGGUGAGCGGAAGGGAAGAGGAAGGAAGGAAAGAGUUUCAUAAUUAAUUAAUUAAUUUUUGUGUAAUGUAUUAGUAAAAAUUUUGUUUCUAGAUUGAUAGUGAAAUUUGAAAAGAUUUGUCACAUCAAUAUUCUGGUAUAGUUUGGUAUAAAGUUUCAUAAUAAUAAAAAAAAAU
Molecule: unclassified non-coding RNA, 787 nt
Filed under: Hevea brasiliensis (rubber tree)
Lineage: Eukaryota; Viridiplantae; Streptophyta; Magnoliopsida; Malpighiales; Euphorbiaceae
Source: RNAcentral